This 253-nucleotide ribosomal RNA is filed under the name uncultured bacterium. RNAcentral describes it as "partial 16S ribosomal RNA". It matches the Rfam family "Bacterial small subunit ribosomal RNA", at positions 524 to 776 of the family's 1533-position model. The record is from RNAcentral.
UACGGAGGGUGCGAGCGUUAAUCGGAAUUACUGGGCGUAAAGGGUGCGUAGGUGGUUUAUUAAGUUAGCUGUGAAAUACCUAGGCUUAACCUAGGCAGGUCAGCUAAGACUGAUGGACUCGAGUAUGGGAGAGGGUAGUGGAAUUUCCGGUGUAGCGGUGAAAUGCGUAGAGAUCGGAAGGAACACCAGUGGCGAAGGCGGCUACCUGGCCUAAUACUGACACUGAGGCACGAAAGCGUGGGGAGCAAACAGG